This is a long non-coding RNA of Oncorhynchus masou masou (cherry salmon), 975 nucleotides long. RefSeq lists it as uncharacterized. NCBI's taxonomy places the organism in Eukaryota, Metazoa, Chordata, Actinopteri, Salmoniformes, Salmonidae. The record is from RefSeq and is a predicted model, not a curated record. The transcript has 3 exons.
CGUUCUUCUCAAACAACCCCACAUACAGAUUGGCAUAAUCAGAUGCUAUUUUUUAAACUGCAAACUGCACAUUUUAAAUGUUUUCUUUACUCAAGUAUGACAAUUGGGUACUUUUUACAUCACUGUUUCUUUUACACCUGCAAUGUAAAAUAAACAGAAGAAUGCAUGAUGGUCAAUGCUAUCUGGUAUCCUUGGGACAUCCCUACCCUAAACCCUAACUUUAACCCCUAACCUUAACCCCUAACUUAACCAUUUGAAAUGUCAACUUCAACGGGCUAGGGGCGUCCCAAGGAUGUAUCUCUACCUAAAAAUAUAUGAUCUAAGUGAUUGAUAGUUGGUAUUCAGCAGUCAUAAAGCCUAAUUUACUUAAUGAAUUACUAAAAUAGUAAUUUUGUCAGACAGCAGCUCUCCACUUUAUUGACUGACUGAUCCAUUCAUCCUUCCAUCCCUCCUCAGCCUUCCUCUCCUCUGAGGACCCAGUGAGGCUGGAGAGCAGUCAGAGAGCUGUUGAGGGACUGGUUAGGAAGAACACUUCUACAGCCAGAGAGUGGCCUGACUGCAUCCAGACUGUCAUAGGCCCAUCCUGGUAGAUCUGAACCGAAUGCAGUUUGGAGUGAUCGGAUGACAGAAGUCACAUUUAGGGGAAGUCAAGAAAUGGAACAGCAAGGCCACAGAACAUGACAUAAGCAGAGCUGUGGGAGACCACCUCAAGCCCCUGGUAGAGCCGGGGGUGGUGUUUAACACUCCCCCACGCCUUCAGCAGGCUGGAAAAGUGGAAGAUAUACUGAAUUUAUACUGUUUUUCAUACUAAGAUGGAUCAUGCACUAUAUUGACAAGGUUGAAGAUAGCAUGAAAAACAGUAUAAAUUCAGUCAAAGCUGGACCAAGAUAUGCCUUUGCACAUAUUUGUUCAUUGGUUUAGCAAGUCUGUUGAUUGGUUGGUCACUGGGUUCAUUUGUUUUGCAAUAUGAUCAAA